UACGUAGGGUCCUAGCGUUGUCCGGAAUCAUUGGGCGUAAAGAGCUCGUAGGCGGUUCAACAAGUCGGCUGUGAAAGUCCGAGGCUCAACCUCGGAAUUGAAGUCGAUACUGCUGUGACUCGAGUCCGGUAGAGGAGAAUGGAAUCCCGGGUGUAGCGGUGAAAUGCGCAGAUAUCGGGAGGAACACCAGUAGCGAAGGCGGUUCUCUGGGCCGGCACUGACGCUGAGGAGCGAAAGCGUGGGGAGCAAACAGG
This 254-nucleotide unclassified non-coding RNA is filed under the name uncultured Acidimicrobiia bacterium. RNAcentral's name for it is "contains 16S-23S intergenic spacer region". It matches the Rfam family "Bacterial small subunit ribosomal RNA", at positions 524 to 776 of the family's 1533-position model. Lineage: Bacteria; Bacillati; Actinomycetota; Acidimicrobiia. The record is from RNAcentral.